CAUCCCAGAGUCUUAUGCCAACUUUGUCCCAAACUGCCCCACCAGUAUGUAUUGAUACGAUCCUUGAGCGUACCGUCCAAUAACUUUUGCACUGCCGCUUUUGCUCGUUGUAUUGCGGUCGUAGCGUUCUUUUCCCAGUCGAGGCAGCAGAAGCCCGGAACUCCGCCUUCCUCAGCCACUGCCUUUUCCAGCUGCGUGAGCAGCUUGUCAUCUAUUGGCUGCCACGUCCUGCACUGUCCAUCCACACCCCCAUCAUGCACCAGGACCGGAUGGAGCAGUCCCGCCCCGUCCUCCGCUCUCACCGUGCAGUUCUGCAGCACGCACUCUCCAGCCCGGACAGUCCAUCUCCCCUUCUCCAAGUCCCGCUCCGUCACGACCCCAGCGCCACGCUGCUCCUUUCUCCGCAUCUUUAAAAGCUGCCCCACCCGUGCGGCCAGUCGCCGCACCUCACCGUGCAAGCCGUCUGUGGGCUCCUGCCGCACGGCCACUCCUCCUCCUUCUGCCUUGGACCCCUCCUCCUCUUUGUUUGCCAACGUAUCGAAAACGGCACUUUUCAAAUCCGCCUUCCCGCUCGCACUGCUCCGCCCCUCUUCCUGGAAUGGCGGGGAAACUAAAAAGUGGAGUCCCCGCCGCACCAGAAAACGGAUCCGCCUGCUCUGGGAACCGCACGGGACCCGCAGUUCCGUAGCCCCAACCCGCCCCUCCUGCACGACCCCACUGCGACAGCGCGGCCGGGACCGCCCCGGGGCCCAGCAUCGGCGCCGCCCACAAGGGCUCCGUGCUCCUCUUUUCCUCCGCCUUCUCUUCCUUCUCCGCCAGCGCCGGACUAGUCGGUCGCUGUUCCCCGGUUUCUUCCCCAGCCUUGCCCUCCUGUUUUUCCUUGCCGUUUUUUCCCAACUGCCUCGUCCCCCUCCUUCACCUCUACGGCUGCCCCUUGCUGUUUAUGUGGACAUUGCCGUGCCACGUGGGGACCUCCGCACUCCCAGCAUUUCAAGGGAGUUUUGCUUCUUGCAGCCCCUUUGGUUCUGCAAUCCUUAG
This 1038-nucleotide long non-coding RNA is filed under the name Numida meleagris (helmeted guineafowl). RNAcentral describes it as "lncRNA (ENSNMEG00000012503.1)". Lineage: Eukaryota; Metazoa; Chordata; Aves; Galliformes; Numididae. The record is from RNAcentral.